Molecule: long non-coding RNA, 1146 nt
Organism: Pristis pectinata (smalltooth sawfish)
Lineage: Eukaryota; Metazoa; Chordata; Chondrichthyes; Rhinopristiformes; Pristidae
Exons: 3
Source: RefSeq, a predicted model, not a curated record
AUUGGAUCAGACCACCUGCAGCAAAUUAGGUUGUUUACUUGGUAACAUUUAAGACCUCAAUCAACAGAAGGAGACAAACUUUUCUCUUGUGUUCUGCCCAAUUUGAAUGAAUCUGGGAUAGAGGAGUUUGGAAAAGUUCAACUUUGCUAUUUAUGGAAGACAGAUGACAAGCAUUCCUUAACAAGAUCUUUUCUUUGACAAGGUAACAGAGGGCUGAUGAAGAGAAACGCAGAUGAUGUGAUGUCUGUGGAAUUUGGAAACACACCAGUGCCUCUACUUCUUCAGAAGGCGAAGGAAAUUUGGCAAUUGCCCGUUGACCCUCACUGAUUUUUUUGAUGCACCAUAGAAAGCACCUAUGCAGAUGCACUGGCAAUUCAAUUUACUCUGUCAAAGACUUCAAGAAAUUGCAGAGGCUUGUGGACACAGCUCAAUCCAUCAUGAAAACCAGUCUCCCCUCCAAUGACUUGAUCUACACUUCCUGCUGCCUCGGGAAAGCAGCCUACGUAAUCAGAGAACCCUCCCAGCCUGGUCAUUCUCUCUUCUCCACCUUCCACCGGGCAGAAGAUAAAAAGCUUGAAAACAUGUACCACCAGUCUCAAGGACAGCUUGUAUCCGCUGUCAUAAGACUCUUGAAUGGACCUCUUAAACGAUAAACCUGGACUCCUGAUCUCUCAAUCUACCGUGUUGUGGCCCUCGCGCCUUAUUUGCCUACCUGCACUGCACUUCCUGCGUAACAGUAACUGUAACACUAUAUUCUGCAUUCUGUUAUUGCCCUUCCCUUUGUACUGCCUCAACGUAUGUAGUUUUUUGGAAUGAUCUUUAUGGAUAGCAUCCAAAACAAAGUUUUUCACUGUAUCUUGGUAUUGGUGACAAUAAUAAACCAAUUACCAAUUUAUCAAGAUUGAAGAUCAAAAUAGGCAGUACCAGCAGAGAUAGCAAUAAGGCCAUGUGACAGAAAAUAGAGUAGUAGUGAUCAGUUGUCUGUCAGAUUGGAUGGAAGUGUAUGGUGGUGUUUUCCACGGGUCAGUACCAGAACAAUAGUUGGUGGCUGAUUUAACAGACACACAAAUUAUAGAAUUCUGAAUAUUAUGGCUUCAGUAUAGAAAAAAAAAUGGUCAAUUUCACCAGUGGGCAAAUAAUUUUGUA